RNAcentral lists this transfer RNA (91 nucleotides) under Felis catus (domestic cat). It matches the Rfam family "tRNA". From Rfam's summary of the family: Transfer RNA (tRNA) molecules are approximately 80 nucleotides in length. Their secondary structure includes four short double-helical elements and three loops (D, anti-codon, and T loops). Further hydrogen bonds mediate the characteristic L-shaped molecular structure. tRNAs have two regions of fundamental functional importance: the anti-codon, which is responsible for specific mRNA codon recognition, and the 3' end, to which the tRNAs corresponding amino acid is attached (by aminoacyl-tRNA synthetases). tRNAs cope with the degeneracy of the genetic code in two manners: having more than one tRNA (with a specific anti-codon) for a particular amino acid; and 'wobble' base-pairing, i.e. permitting non-standard base-pairing at the 3rd anti-codon position. Lineage: Eukaryota; Metazoa; Chordata; Mammalia; Carnivora; Felidae. RNAcentral also lists the same sequence under 1 other name. The record is from Rfam by way of RNAcentral.
GCCUGGGUGGCUCAGUCGGUUAAGUGUCUGACUUUGGCUCAGGUCAUGAUCUCAAUCUCAUGGUUCGUGGGUUCGAGCCCCAUGUCGGGUU